UCUCCGUUGGUGAACCAGCGGAGGGAUCAUUACCGAGUUUACAACUCCCAAACCCCUGUGAACAUACCAUUUGUUGCCUCGGCGGUGCCUGCUUCGGCAGCCCGCCAGAGGAUCCAAACCCUUGAUUUUAUACAGUAUCUUCUGAGUAAAUGAUUAAAUAAAUCAAAACUUUCAACAACGGAUCUCUUGGCUCUC
This 195-nucleotide unclassified non-coding RNA is filed under the name plant metagenome. Its description in RNAcentral is "partial contains small subunit ribosomal RNA, internal transcribed spacer 1, and 5.8S ribosomal RNA". The record is from RNAcentral.